UACGAAGGGUCCGAGCGUUGUCCGGAAUUAUUGGGCGUAAAGGGCUCGUAGGCGGUUUGUCGCGUCGGGAGUGAAAACUCAGGGCUCAACCCUGAGCGUGCUUCCGAUACGGGCAGACUAGAGGUAUGCAGGGGAGAACGGAAUUCCUGGUGUAGCGGUGGAAUGCGCAGAUAUCAGGGAGGGAAACACCCGGGUGGGCGAAAGGGCGGGUUUCUCUUGGGGCAUUUACCCUGACGCUGAGGAGCGAAAAGCGUGGGGUAGCAAAACAGG
Molecule: ribosomal RNA, 270 nt
Filed under: uncultured bacterium
Lineage: Bacteria
Description: partial 16S ribosomal RNA
Rfam family: Bacterial small subunit ribosomal RNA
Source: RNAcentral